RNAcentral lists this ribosomal RNA (253 nucleotides) under uncultured bacterium. RNAcentral describes it as "partial 16S ribosomal RNA". It matches the Rfam family "Bacterial small subunit ribosomal RNA", at positions 524 to 776 of the family's 1533-position model. The record is from RNAcentral.
UACGGGGGGGGCAAGCGUUGUUCGGAAUUACUGGGCGUAAAGGGCUCGUAGGCGGCCAACUAAGUCAGACGUGAAAUCCCUCGGCUUAACCGGGGAACUGCGUCUGAUACUGGAUGGCUUGAGUUUGGGAGAGGGAUGCGGAAUUCCAGGUGUAGCGGUGAAAUGCGUAGAUAUCUGGAGGAACAUCGGUGGCGAAGGCGGCAUCCUGGACCGGUAUUGACGCUGAGGCGCGAAAGCCAGGGGAGCAAACGGG